Long non-coding RNA from Acanthopagrus latus (yellowfin seabream), 667 nucleotides. RefSeq lists it as uncharacterized. Lineage: Eukaryota; Metazoa; Chordata; Actinopteri; Spariformes; Sparidae. The record is from RefSeq and is a predicted model, not a curated record. The transcript has 3 exons.
GACGCAGUUGCAGCGAGAGCCAGGAGGAGCAGCUUGUGAUAAUAACUGUAAUCGAAAGCAGAUGAAACUAAAGACAGGGCAGACGAAUUUCAAACUGUACUGAAAGGAGUGUUUUUAAAAGCUGAAGCAAAUGGUAGGACUGUGCAGCUGAGUGACAAGUGUGAUCGCUUCACACAGCUGGUUUCUAUUGCUGUUAAUGGCCAGACAGCCAGAGGAAAAGACACCACCAGGCACCACUCCUGACAUUCUCUCAACGAGCCACUUUACAGCGAUCAAGGCUGUUUGGUAUUCUGCUUGUGUGAUACUGCACACUAUGGCCGGACUGUUCCUGAGGUCAUACCACCGCCAGACGAGAAACCUAAUUGACUUCAGGGUUAGACGAGUGACCCUGGAGGGGAAUGAAAAAUAGCUCUGCUCAGUCCUCGGAGGCUUGGCUUAGCGGUGCUGAGGGCGGUGAAACCUGCUGUUAACAUAUUUGCAGGCGGAAUGAAUUGGAGAUUAAUUUGACUGCUGGAGCCACACAAUCCUUGUUAUCCAUUAGCCUGCAGAGGGAGCAGUCAGCAGAACUGGUGAGCCAUCAUAAGGUGAGAUAUAACUGCCCAGUUACACCCUUUGCAACACAAUACGAAAGGUUUACAGCAUACUGAAAGGUAUGUGAAUGUAUGAA